GAUGAAGAACGUAGCGAAAUGCGAUAAGUAAUGUGAAUUGCAGAAUUCAGUGAAUCAUCGAAUCUUUGAACGCACAUUGCGCCCGUCAGUAUUCUGGCGGGCAUGCCUGUUCGAGCGUCAUUUCACCACUCAAGCCUCGCUUGGUAUUGGGCAACGCGGUCCGCCGCGUGCCUCAAAUCGACCGGCUGGGUCUUCUGUCCCCUAAGCGUUGUGGAAACUAUUCGCUAAAGGGUGUUCGGGAGGCUACGCCGUAAAACAACCCCAUUUCUAAGGUUGACCUCGGAUCAGGUAGGGAUACCCGCUGAACUUAAGCAUAUCAAUAAGCGGAGGA
RNAcentral lists this unclassified non-coding RNA (331 nucleotides) under soil metagenome. RNAcentral describes it as "partial contains 5.8S ribosomal RNA, internal transcribed spacer 2, and large subunit ribosomal RNA". The stretch from base 1 to 120 matches the Rfam family "5.8S ribosomal RNA", at positions 35 to 154 of the family's 154-position model. The record is from RNAcentral.